AGAGUUUGAUCCUGGCUCAGAGCGAACGCUGGCGGCAGGCCUAACACAUGCAAGUCGAACGAACUCUUCGGAGUUAGUGGCGGACGGGUGAGUAACACGUGGGAACGUGCCUUUAGGUUCGGAAUAACUCAGGGAAACUUGUGCUAAUACCGAAUGUGCCCUUCGGGGGAAAGAUUUAUCGCCUUUAGAGCGGCCCGCGUCUGAUUAGCUAGUUGGUGAGGUAAAGGCUCACCAAGGCGACGAUCAGUAGCUGGUCUGAGAGGAUGAUCAGCCACAUUGGGACUGAGACACGGCCCAAACUCCUACGGGAGGCAGCAGUGGGGAAUCUUGCGCAAUGGGCGAAAGCCUGACGCAGCCAUGCCGCGUGAAUGAUGAAGGUCUUAGGAUUGUAAAAUUCUUUCACCGGGGACGAUAAUGACGGUACCCGGGGAAGAAGCCCCGGCUAACUUCGUGCCAGCAGCCGCGGUAAUACGAAGGGGGCUAGCGUUGCUCGGAAUUACUGGGCGUAAAGGGAGCGUAGGCGGACAUUUAAGUCAGGGGUGAAAUCCCGGGGCUCAACCUCGGAAUUGCCUUUGAUACUGGGUGUCUUGAGUAUGAGAGAGGUGUGUGGAACUCCGAGUGUAGAGGUGAAAUUCGUAGAUAUUCGGAAGAACACCAGUGGCGAAGGCGACACACUGGCUCAUUACUGACGCUGAGGCUCGAAAGCGUGGGGAGCAAACAGGAUUAGAUACCCUGGUAGUCC
Molecule: ribosomal RNA, 742 nt
Filed under: uncultured bacterium
Lineage: Bacteria
Description: bacterial SSU rRNA
Rfam family: Bacterial small subunit ribosomal RNA
Source: RNAcentral